RNAcentral lists this unclassified non-coding RNA (205 nucleotides) under plant metagenome. Its description in RNAcentral is "partial contains small subunit ribosomal RNA, internal transcribed spacer 1, and 5.8S ribosomal RNA". The record is from RNAcentral.
UUUCCGUAGGUGAACCUGCGGAAGGGUCAUUCAUAAUAAGUGUUUUUUGUCCCUUUUAAAUCCAUAUCCACCUUGUGUGCAAUGUCAGGGUUGGUCUCUUUUGAGCAGCCCGAAACAUCAACUAUUAUCUCACUUUUUUGUCUGAAAAUUAUUAUGAAUAAAACUAUUCAAAAUACAACUUUCAACAACGGAUCUCUUGGCUCUC